UUCCGGUUGAUCCUGCCGGACCUGACUGCUAUCGGAUUGAUACUAAGCCAUGCGAGUCAUUGUAGCAAUACAAGGCAUACGGCUCAGUAACGCGUAGUCAACCUAACCUAUGGACGGGAAUAACCUCGGGAAACUGAGAAUAAUGCCCGAUAGAACAUUAUGCCUGGAAUGGUUUAUGUUCCAAAUGAUUUAUCGCCGUAGGAUGGGACUGCGGCCUAUCAGUUUGUUGGUGAGGUAAUGGCCCACCAAGACUAUUACAGGUACGGGCUCUGAGAGGAGUAGCCCGGAGAUGGGUACUGAGACACGGACCCAGGCCCUAUGGGGCGCAGCAGGCGAGAAAACUUUGCAAUGUGCGAAAGCACGACAAGGUUAAUCCGAGUGGUUUCUGCUAAAGGAACCUUUUGUCAGUCCUAGAAACACUGAUGAAUAAGGGGUGGGCAAGUUCUGGUGUCAGCCGCCGCGGUAAAACCAGCACCUCAAGUGGUCAGGAUGAUUAUUGGGCCUAAAGCAUCCGUAGCCGGCUCUGUAAGUUUUCGGUUAAAUCUGUACGCUCAACGUACAGGCUGCCGGGAAUACUGCAGAGCUAGGGAGUGGGAGAGGUAGACGGUACUCGGUAGGAAGGGGUAAAAUCCUUUGAUCUAUUGA
Molecule: ribosomal RNA, 645 nt
Filed under: uncultured archaeon
Lineage: Archaea
Description: bacterial SSU rRNA
Rfam family: Archaeal small subunit ribosomal RNA
Source: RNAcentral